UACGUAGGGUGCAAGCGUUGUCCGGAAUUAUUGGGCGUAAAGAGCUCGUAGGCGGUCUGUUGCGUCGGCUGUGAAAACCCGGGGCUCAACCCCAGGCCUGCAGCCGAUACGGGCAGACUAGAGUUCGGCAGGGGAGACUGGAAUUCCUGGUGUAGCGGUGAAAUGCGCAGAUAUCAGGAAGAACACCAACGGCGAAGGCAGCUCGCUGGGACGGAACUGACGCUGAGGCGCGAAAGCGUGGGGAGCGAACAGG
RNAcentral lists this ribosomal RNA (253 nucleotides) under uncultured bacterium. Its description in RNAcentral is "partial 16S ribosomal RNA". It matches the Rfam family "Bacterial small subunit ribosomal RNA", at positions 524 to 776 of the family's 1533-position model. The record is from RNAcentral.